Acanthosepion pharaonis is the source of this 109-nucleotide non-coding RNA. NCBI's taxonomy places the organism in Eukaryota, Metazoa, Mollusca, Cephalopoda, Sepiida, Sepiidae. The record is from the annotation of a GenBank genome assembly.
ACAGCCAUAUUACGUUGAAACACCGGUUUCCGUAUGAUCACCGAAAUUAAGCAACGUUGAGUCUGGUCAGUACCGAUGGGUAACCGUUUGGGAAUACCAGAUGCUGUAA